Molecule: ribosomal RNA, 245 nt
Filed under: uncultured bacterium
Lineage: Bacteria
Description: partial 16S ribosomal RNA
Rfam family: Bacterial small subunit ribosomal RNA
Source: RNAcentral
AUGGCGACCGGCGCACGGGUGAGUAACACGUAUCCAACCUGCCGAUGACUCGGGGAUAGCCUUUCGAAAGAAAGAUUAAUACCCGAUGGCAUAGUUCUUCCGCAUGGUAGAACUAUUAAAGAAUUUCGGUCAUCGAUGGGGAUGCGUUCCAUUAGGUUGUUGGCGGGGUAACGGCCCACCAAGCCUUCGAUGGAUAGGGGUUCUGAGAGGAAGGUCCCCCACAUUGAAACUGAGACACGGUCCAA